Molecule: RNA transcript, 1393 nt
Organism: Malus domestica (apple)
Lineage: Eukaryota; Viridiplantae; Streptophyta; Magnoliopsida; Rosales; Rosaceae
Gene name: probable E3 ubiquitin-protein ligase XERICO
Source: RefSeq, a predicted model, not a curated record
GAACUGGUUAUGCAGAGCAGCCAUUGUCAAACAAAAACUGUAUAUAUAUUUAUCCUGAUUGUAUUUGUAUGUGUAUGACUGCUGCCUAUAAUCCCUAGAAUCUCUUCUUCUUCUUCCUUCAGCUCCUCUGGAUGUUACUCGGUUUCUAUCAGGGCCAAAAGCUUGAAGCUCCAAAAGCCUCACUCUGUGUCGGGUAACACGAAGAUUUCGGUGACAUUUUCAUCUCCAUUUGACUAAACUCUUACUCAUCAAAUUGAUAUAAUAAUCUGUCUCCCGUUUCGCGUCUCUGCCGGUUCAAUCUGGUUCCACUGCCCCUCAACAAUCUUGGCAAUCCGAUUCGAGCCAGUUGAACUUGUGUUUUGAUCACAUGGGUCUCUCUAGUCUACCAGCUCCAUCAGAAGGUGUUCUAUGUGUGCUUUUAGUAAACACUGCCUUAUCAGUCUCCAUCAUCAAGGGGAUAAUCCGAUCAGUCCUGCAAUUAGUUGGUAUCCGUCUCUCAUCAUCUUCCCCGCCGUUAGCAGACUCCUCUGAAAACCUCUCAGAAUCAUUUGAGUUUCAUGUCAGUCCCUCGGCUAGUUACAUUGAGGAGAUCAGGAGCAGUAUCCCAGCAAUUCAGUUCGAAUCUGUGUGUAGCUUCAAGCAGCGGGAGCACGAAUGCUCAGUCUGCCUAACCGAGUUUGAACCUGAAUCGAAGAUCAACCACUUGUCCUGCGGCCAUAUUUUCCAUCAAAAUUGCUUAGAGAAGUGGUUGAAUUACUGGAACAUUACAUGCCCUCUUUGUAGGACUCCUUUCAUGCCCGAGGAGGACGCACCCUGCUUCUGGUGAAGUGUUUACAAAGCAAGAAAAUCGCGAUGAAUGUCAUGUACAGCGUUUAAUGUACAGGUUGUGUACAUGGUUGUGUACAUGAUUGGUGAUAUGACCGAUGUUCUCGUGAAAUAUAGGGUGGAGUUUGCUUCUUUCUUAAUAAAUGUGUUAUGCAUCUAUGGAUGGAGUUUUCAUUUCCUUAAGUUAACAUCAAGGAACGGAAAUUAGGAGGCGGCUUUGAAGGACCAUAUCUUCUCAAUGGUUUGAAAAAAAAUGGAAUAAACCCUAAGAAUUGAAGCAUCAAUUGAGCACUUGAAACAGCUGCAUGGAGGAAAAAAAAGCUACAAAAUAAUAGAGAGAUGUAGAUGUUGCUUUUGGAUUUGGAUCAAAGGGAGGACCGCCUGAAAAUAACGUUAUAGUAGUGGUCCUUUUUUCUUUGUACAGCUUUACUAAAUAUGUUUAUUCUACUUUUCUAAGUUAAAUGGACUUAGUGGUGGUAUUGGUACGAUUACCGUAUCAAAAUUCAUGUACCAAUUACUAUACCAAAGUUUUUUGUAUGAUAAAAUCUAUUACCAUUACCGUAUCGAA